UACGUAGGGUGCGAGCGUUAAUCGGAAUUACUGGGCGUAAAGCGUGCGCAGGCGGUCCGUUGUGUCUGCUGUGAAAGCCCCGGGCUCAACCUGGGAAUGGCAGUGGAAACUGGCGAGCUGGAGUGUGGCAGAGGGGGGUGGAAUUCCGCGUGUAGCAGUGAAAUGCGUAGAGAUGCGGAGGAACACCGAUGGCGAAGGCAGCCCCCUGGGCUGACACUGACGCUCAGGCACGAAAGCGUGGGGAGCAAACAGG
This 253-nucleotide ribosomal RNA is filed under the name uncultured bacterium. RNAcentral's name for it is "partial 16S ribosomal RNA". It matches the Rfam family "Bacterial small subunit ribosomal RNA", at positions 524 to 776 of the family's 1533-position model. The record is from RNAcentral.